AGGAUUACGAAAUCACUGAAAUUCGUGUUACUUUUAUCGUCGCAGUUUCUGGCAAGCGAGCUGCAACAAAAUUGCUACGUUUACUUUCCUGCAUCAGGAUACUGAAACAUGAGUUGCAGCUCUUAAGUCGCAGUAGGUUGUCGCUUCCUCGAUGUUAGUGUCACAGUGGGGCCCACUAUAUGCUGAAAUGAAUCUGGAGACUCGGAAAUCGUAGUUCAAAAGGAGAGGAUCCUGUUAGGUGUUAUGAUAAGGAAAAAAUCAAGUUAUUGCACAAUAUUUGUGGCGAGAAGGACUUGCCGUUGGAAUCGAAAUGUUCUGGUAUUUUCUUCACGGCGGCGAUCAUCAGAUUUUAUAAUACUUUCAGGCUACAGAGCAUCGUAUUAAAUCCAUUCAUCCAAGCGAGGCUUUGGCGUAAUAAUUCCAAGCACUAAAAGCCUCACUCGGCACCUGCACAAUGCACUUUCCAAUUGCUAGCUGCCAACUGCACGGUAGCUAGUCUCCGACUGAAUCUCAUGGCCACGUUUUUACUCGCACCAACCGCAAUUUGCGCGAGCUAAAUAACUUCCGUUUUAGAGGGGAACCACUGCAUCUUUUACCAUAAAAUGAACCAAGAGCCCUAAGUGUGGAUCAGCAGUUACAAAGUAGUAAGUAAACAUGUUUAAGCAACAUUGCAUUUACCCGUAUUAACAAAUAAAUACAAAAUUAUUUAACCAAAA
Schistocerca nitens (vagrant locust) is the source of this 716-nucleotide long non-coding RNA. RefSeq lists it as uncharacterized. The record is from RefSeq and is a predicted model, not a curated record. The transcript has 4 exons. NCBI's taxonomy places the organism in Eukaryota, Metazoa, Arthropoda, Insecta, Orthoptera, Acrididae.